Molecule: ribosomal RNA, 253 nt
Filed under: uncultured bacterium
Lineage: Bacteria
Description: partial 16S ribosomal RNA
Rfam family: Bacterial small subunit ribosomal RNA
Source: RNAcentral
UACGGAGGGUGCAAGCGUUAUCCGGAUUCACUGGGUUUAAAGGGUGCGUAGGCGGGUAUAUAAGUCUGUGGUGAAAGCUCCGGGCUUAACUUGGAAACUGCCAUUGAUACUGUAUAUCUUGAAUGUCGUAGAGGUUAGCGGAAUGUUGCAUGUAGCGGUGAAAUGCUUAGAUAUGUUACAGAACACCAAUUGCGAAGGCAGCUAACUAUGCGAUGAUUGACGCUGAGGCACGAAAGCGUGGGGAGCAAACAGG